This 440-nucleotide ribosomal RNA is filed under the name uncultured bacterium. RNAcentral describes it as "partial 16S ribosomal RNA". It matches the Rfam family "Bacterial small subunit ribosomal RNA", at positions 338 to 795 of the family's 1533-position model. The record is from RNAcentral.
CCUACGGGUGGCAGCAGUAGGGAAUAUUGCUCAAUGGGGGAAACCCUGAAGCAGCGACGCCGCGUGGGUGAUGAAGGUUUUCGGUUUGUAAACUCCUUUUGGUAGGGAAGAUAAUGACGGUAUCUAACGAAUAAGCACCGGCUAACUACGUGCCAGCAGCCGCGGUAAUACGGAGGGUGCAAGCGUUACUCGGAAUCACUGGGCGUAAAGGGCGCGUAGGCGGGAUAGCAAGUCAGAUGUGAAAGGCUAUGGCUUAACCAUAGGACUGCAUUUGAAACUGUUAGUCUAGAGUAUGGGAGAGGUAGGUGGAAUUCCUGGUGUAGGGGUAAAAUGCGUAGAGAUCAAGAGGAAUACUCAUGGCGAAGGCGACCUGCUAGAACAUAACUGACGCUGAGGCGCGAAAGCGUGGGGAGCAAACAGGAUUAGAUACCCUUGUAGUC